RNAcentral lists this non-coding RNA (27 nucleotides) under Homo sapiens (human). Lineage: Eukaryota; Metazoa; Chordata; Mammalia; Primates; Hominidae. The record is from RNAcentral.
UCGGUCCGAUUCCUCUACAUGUUGGUC